GGAGGAGAGUGGUGGAGUGGAGUUGAGAGAGAGAUGGAGGGAGGAGAGCCGAGCACUGUGAGAAUUCCUGCUGUGUUAGCAUCCACCCAGCAACUCUGUCAAUACUGCAUACAGCUAAGAAACAGGCAGAGGCCCCUGGUGCUGCAUUUGCCGGCUCAGUCAGUGAGAGAGAGCAGCUUCCACAAUCCCCCCAAUCCGUGUGCUGCUCGAGAGGUUUUUCCCAGGGAUAACACACCCACCAGAGCCCCGGCCGCUACUGCUGCGUCGGAGGGAGAGGAAGAGACAAGAGGAGAGCUGAACAGUAGAUACAGAGUGGGAAUACUCUAGAAGAGAGAGACGAUCCUGGGGGAGGGACAGGAUUCUUGGAAGACUGGGUGUGAUAGUAUUCUAACUUGCUCCACAGGAAAGGCUGAACACUGGGGCGUUUGACAGACAAGCACUCAGCGGUGCACCUGCUCCACACUAGCUUGUUGGGUGGUGAUGUGGGAGAGCUGAUGUCUACAAUGGCUGACCUGAAUCUGCACCUGCACAUACUGAUACCCCCGUUUCAACACUGUCGUGGUUACCUCCCGACCCAGGAGCCCAACCCCAGGAUCUGACCCCGUCUCUUCCUCACCUCCCCUGGGCUUCCUCCAGCCAGGCCUACUGGAUCUACCCUGGGCCCAUAAUGGGAGGAUGCCUCUCCAAAAGCAAGCCAGUUGAGGUGAAAGUGGAGCUAACCCUUCUGGGCAAAGAAAAUGAUCCAGGUGUGAAGUCCGCCAAUGGAAAGGCGAGCCCCUUUUCUGACUGCAGACCCAACGGAGCACUGGAACACUGCUCCGAUGAGGACUCCGCCGCUGCCGCCCCCCUCAGGCUCUACAAACCCCGUGAUUACCUGGAGGCCUCCGUGUGUCAUGUCAAGGACCUGGAAAAUGGACAGAUGAGAGAGGUUGAUUUAGGAAGUGGCAGAGCGCUGCUCAUUAAAGAACAUGGAGAGUUUUCUGCAAUGGGGCACAAGUGCCCGCAUUAUGGGGCACCACUGGUCAAAGGUAUCUUGUCCAAAGGCCACGUGCGUUGCCCCUGGCAUGGAGCUUGUUUCAACAUUGUUACAGGAGACAUUGAGGAAUUUCCUGGGCUUGACAGCCUGCCCACCUUCCAGGUCCGAGUUGAAAAGGACAAAGUGAUAAUUCGUGCUAACAAACAGGAUCUUCAGUCACAGAGGAGGUCAAAAGCAAUGGCCCGAUGUUUAGCAGUUAACUCCAGCACUGGCUUCAGCCAGGUCCUUAUCGUUGGAUCAGGUCCAGCAGGGCUGGUGUGCGCUGAGACAUUGCGACAGGAAGGCUUCACUGAUCGCAUUGUCAUGUGCACCAUGGACAAACACCCACCAUAUGACAGGCCUAAACUGAGUAAGUCCUUAGAGAGCACAGCAGAUCAGCUCCGGCUACGCUCCAUAGACUUCCUCCAAGCCCACAACAUCGAGUUGCUCACGGAGAAGGAGGCUGUGGCAGUGGACGUCAAGACGAGGGCUGUGACUUUUCAAGACGACUCUAGGAUGGAAUACAGGAAGCUUUUCAUUGCCACAGGAAGCAAACCCAAGCUGAUGAACUACAAAGGCCAGGACGUUAGGAAUGUGUUUCACCUCCGAACCCCUGAAGAUGCUAACAGCGUAGCGAGGCUGGCCAAAAACAAGAAUGCUGUGAUUGUGGGAACAUCAUUUGUUGGUAUGGAGGUGGCUGCUGCUCUCACCGACAAGGCCCACUCUGUCUCCAUCAUUGGGAUAGAAGCAAUCCCUUUCCGGAAAGCUCUGGGGGAGAAAGUAGGGAAAGCCAUAAUGAAGCUGUUUGAGACGAACAGGGUGAAGUUCUACAUGUUGAACGAGGUAUCGGAGAUGCUUGGCCAUGAUGGACAGUUGAAAGAGGUGGUUCUGAAGAGUGGGAAAGUACUAAGGGCGGACGUGUGUGUCAUUGGCACAGGGUCAGGCCCAGCCACUGGCUUCCUGAAACAGAGUGGAGUUCACAUGGAUUCCAAGGGUUUUGUCCCCGUCAACAAGACAAUGCAGACCAACGUUGAUGGUGUCUUUGCCGGAGGAGACAUUGUGACGUUUCCUUUUCCGGGGCGGAGCAAUAAGAAGGUGAACAUCCCACACUGGCAAAUGGCCCAUGUGCAUGGGAGAGCAGCAGCACUUGGCAUGAUGGGAAGACCCACUGAGAUCAAAACAGUGCCCUAUUUCUGGUCGGCCAUGUUUGGGAAAAGCCUACGCUAUGCAGGUUACGGGGAUGGCUUUGAUGACGUCAUCAUCCAAGGAGACGUGGACGAGCUGAAGUUUGUGGCAUUUUAUACCAAGGGUGAGGAGGUGGUUGCCGUGGCCAGCAUGAACUAUGACCCCAUUGUAUCCCGUGUGGCAGAGGUCUUAAGGACUGGAAAGAUGAUUAGAAAGCGAGAUGUGGACCAAACGUGAUGAACAAAACGGAGCGAUUUCUCCUACACAAAUAAUAUUUUUGGAAAAACUGAACAUUUGCUAUCUAACUGAGAGUCUCCUCAUUGAAAACAUCCGGAGUUCUUCAAAGGAAGUCAUAGCGGAAACCUACAACGGACUGUGUGAUGAUGGCAUCUCAGAGUGCGAGCUGAUCAAGGGGUCGAAAAUGUAGAUAUUGCCAGAUGUAUGUUCACUGUCCGAGGAACAGGCCGUGGAAGCUUUAUUGCUGGCAAAAGUGUCCAUAACCAGAGGUAAUUAAACUGUUCUGUGUUAUUUUUCUCUCUUCCUCUCUGCCUGUCUUGUUGUACAUGGAACCUCUCACACAUGCAUUCAUUUAAAAACCCUUAAUAUGUCAUCUUCUAAUUUUAAGAUUUACACCACAUAAACACCCAGCCAUUUUCACUGGACUAUCAAGCCCCUGUUCGAAAAUGUAGAUAUUGCCAGAUGUAUGUUCACUGUCCGAGGAACAGGCCAUGGAAGCUUUAUUGCUGGCAAAAGUGUCCAUAACCAGAGGUAAUUAAACUGUUCUGUGUUAUUUUUCAUUUUCACUGGACUAUCAAGCCCCUGUUGCUGCCAGAUUUAUCUUUCGAGAAUUACAGAUUCAGCAGGUAGAGGACCUGCUUUAUCAGGAGGAUAUUCUGGAAUCUGGAAACACUGACAAUGGGGUCAUUGUUCCUGACAUCCCAUGCCCCCUGUCUACUGAGAAUCUUGCUGUGCUGCAACGUCAAGUGAACCCUACAGUACCACUGACAUCUUUUGGUCAGGACAUAUACAUGCAUGCUCUUCGAUUAGUAAUGAGUCUCCAUCUUUUUUAGGUGCUGUCCUCCUACACUAUGUAGGGUAUUGUUUUAUCCCCAGUGCAACUCUUGAUAAAGGCAAACAUUUGUAUUUUUUGGAGGAGGGUGAAAGGAUAGCAGGCCCAGCUGUCAAAGUGAGAGACUAGGCUAUUCUAGAGAGAGCAGGUACUUUUGUGUAGUCUAGUUCUUGUGAGGUUUUCUGUCCUUGGAUACAGAGAGCUGUGAAAGCCUGUCUGCAGAGAGCUGUGAAAGCCUGUCUGCAGAGAGCUGUGAAAGCCUGUCUGAGGAUGAAGAGGUCCCAAUGAGGAGCAGCUGUUCUCAGUCCUGGUCCUGGGGACUCAAAGGGGUGCACAUUUUAGUUUUUGCCGAUUCAUUUUUGUAUAUAGCUGAUUCAAAUGAUCAAGUCAUAAUCAAGCUUCAAGUGAUAUUUUUAUAUUAAUUUGUGAAGCUAUCCUUGAUAUGAUCCUGCUAUUGUCACAUGCAUCUAUCUAUCUAUCCAAUGUUAUCACUAUUUGUUAUAAGGGAUAUUAUACUUAUAUUAUUAAAGAGAUGCUUUACAUUGAAAUACAGAUAGAGAUGUAGUAGUCCCAGAGUUAAUGAUCCAAGGUCAGUUUUUGUAUUUCACCUCCCGAUGAUUAUGAUGACUGACCGUGUUAGAAUAAAAAAAAAGAAAGCUUAACCAUGUUCUCUCUCUAUCCAUCUGUCUCCCGUCUGCAGGUAUGUUUUGAUGUGAGAGAGGAAGCCAGUCCCGUCAAUGCCACCUCACCCGCUCUUAAGAUAACCUUCUGACUGGGAGCCCAAGGCUGGUUAGGAGACACCGCAAGAGACACUAUGUAAUUGUGAUGAACUGAGAGAAUAUUAGGGCACUGUAAUUCAUGAAUCAUAUGCUGUCUUCCCUGCUCCUCUGUUUUACCUCUUGUUUCCUGUCUUCUACACCUCUCUCCCCACCUCUUCUUUCUUCCCCUUUGUUUUAUAAUACACACCAUAUGUGCAUUGAAGUAUAGCUUGAACUUUUAUUUAAUAUAUUACAAUUGUUAUAUUUAUAAUGCAUGUAUUAUGUAUUUAUAACACCUAGAUAAUGAAUUUUCAAUAAAGCGUUUCACAUUC
This is an RNA transcript of Oncorhynchus masou masou (cherry salmon), 4359 nucleotides long. It is a transcript of the gene named apoptosis-inducing factor 3-like, with no coding region annotated. The transcript is spliced from 22 exons. NCBI's taxonomy places the organism in Eukaryota, Metazoa, Chordata, Actinopteri, Salmoniformes, Salmonidae. The record is from RefSeq and is a predicted model, not a curated record.